CUAAUCCUACGGGACGCAGCAGUGGGGGAUAUUGCACAAUGGAGGAUACUCUGAUGCAGCGACGCCGCGUGAGAGAAGACGGUCUUCGGAUUGUAAACCUCUGUCUUUGGGGAAGAAAAUGACGGUACCCAAAGAGGAAGCUCCGGCUAACUACGUGCCAGCAGCCGCGGCAAUACGUAGGGAGCGAGCGUUGUCCGGAAUUACUGGGUGUAAAGGGAGCGUAGUCGGGCGA
Molecule: ribosomal RNA, 232 nt
Filed under: uncultured bacterium
Lineage: Bacteria
Description: partial 16S ribosomal RNA
Rfam family: Bacterial small subunit ribosomal RNA
Source: RNAcentral